GGAUCAUUAUCGAACAAGAAACACAGACGUAGAUCAGGUCGCUAGGGAACGGAGACAGCCUUUCUACUAGAUUCGCUCGAAACAAAUCGCUGUCUCUUCUCCCUUUCUUCCCCUUCUUUUCUGUCUUUCUACCCUUCUUAACCCACACCCGUGCACCAAAGGUAGAUCCCCUCUCGAAAGAGAGGUGGCAUCUACGUAUAACAUCACACACUAUGUAUGGCCAGAAUGUAUAACAAUCUACAACUUUCAGCAACGGAUCUCUUGGCUCUCGCAUCGAUGAAGAACGCAGCGAAUCGCGAUAACUAAUGUGAAUUGCAGAUUUUCAGUGAAUCAUCGAAUCUUUGAACGCACAUUGCGCUCCUCGGUAUUCCGAAGAGCAUGCCUGUUUGAGUGUCAUCAAUUCAUCAACCAUUCCUUCUUGGGAAACCAAGAAGGGCAUGGAUUGGACUUGGGGGUUGCUGGCAGCGAUGUCAGCUCUCCUUAAAUGCAUUAGCGAUCAACUUGGCUAGUCUUUUGGCAUGCACGGCUCGGGCGUGAUACAAAUCGUCCUGGCUGGAGUGUCAUUUCUUGGACUAUCCGAAGGAGAUCGCUUCUAACAAACAAAGUCGAGUCGAGUCGAGUGGAGAACAGGUCUAUGGAAGCUUGGCUACUAGUCAGUCAUCAAGUUGGCUGGCGAACGCAAGCAACAUGGUCUAUUCUUUGCUCGAUUUGAUUUGAUUUGAUUUGAUUUGAUUGAAUGUCUUUGAAGUGAAAUAAGGAUAAGGAAAGGAGAGAGCCUGAAGGAGAGUGAAAUCUGGUGAAAGUGAGUCCAUGGAGCUUAGCUACUAGGCAGUCGUUGAGUCGACUGGCGAACACAAGCAAGAUGGAUUCGAUUCCGUCAAGACCAGAGGAAGCUUGAUCUCUCGAUCUCGAUCUUCUGAA
This 921-nucleotide ribosomal RNA is filed under the name Boletaceae sp. HKAS 68178. Its description in RNAcentral is "eukaryotic LSU rRNA". The stretch from base 242 to 396 matches the Rfam family "5.8S ribosomal RNA". The record is from RNAcentral. Lineage: Eukaryota; Fungi; Basidiomycota; Agaricomycetes; Boletales; Boletaceae.